RNAcentral lists this ribosomal RNA (756 nucleotides) under Bacillus zhangzhouensis. RNAcentral describes it as "bacterial SSU rRNA". It matches the Rfam family "Bacterial small subunit ribosomal RNA", at positions 58 to 797 of the family's 1533-position model. Lineage: Bacteria; Bacillati; Bacillota; Bacilli; Caryophanales; Bacillaceae. The record is from RNAcentral.
CAAGUCGAGCGGACAGAAGGGAGCUUGCUCCCGGAUGUUAGCGGCGGACGGGUGAGUAACACGUGGGUAACCUGCCUGUAAGACUGGGAUAACUCCGGGAAACCGGAGCUAAUACCGGAUAGUUCCUUGAACCGCAUGGUUCAAGGAUGAAAGACGGUUUCGGCUGUCACUUACAGAUGGACCCGCGGCGCAUUAGCUAGUUGGUGAGGUAAUGGCUCACCAAGGCGACGAUGCGUAGCCGACCUGAGAGGGUGAUCGGCCACACUGGGACUGAGACACGGCCCAGACUCCUACGGGAGGCAGCAGUAGGGAAUCUUCCGCAAUGGACGAAAGUCUGACGGAGCAACGCCGCGUGAGUGAUGAAGGUUUUCGGAUCGUAAAGCUCUGUUGUUAGGGAAGAACAAGUGCGAGAGUAACUGCUCGCACCUUGACGGUACCUAACCAGAAAGCCACGGCUAACUACGUGCCAGCAGCCGCGGUAAUACGUAGGUGGCAAGCGUUGUCCGGAAUUAUUGGGCGUAAAGGGCUCGCAGGCGGUUUCUUAAGUCUGAUGUGAAAGCCCCCGGCUCAACCGGGGAGGGUCAUUGGAAACUGGGAAACUUGAGUGCAGAAGAGGAGAGUGGAAUUCCACGUGUAGCGGUGAAAUGCGUAGAGAUGUGGAGGAACACCAGUGGCGAAGGCGACUCUCUGGUCUGUAACUGACGCUGAGGAGCGAAAGCGUGGGGAGCGAACAGGAUUAGAUACCCUGGUAGUCCA